This 459-nucleotide ribosomal RNA is filed under the name uncultured bacterium. Its description in RNAcentral is "partial 16S ribosomal RNA". It matches the Rfam family "Bacterial small subunit ribosomal RNA", at positions 338 to 795 of the family's 1533-position model. The record is from RNAcentral.
CCUACGGGAGGCAGCAGUGAGGAAUAUUGGUCAAUGGCCGGAAGUCUGAACCAGCCAAGUCGCGUGAGGGACGACUGCCCUAUGGGUUGUAAACCUCGUUUAUAAGGGAAGAAUAAAUGCUACGUGUAGCAUGAUGCCUGUACCUUAUGAAUAAGCAUAGGCUAACUCCGUGCCAGAAGCCGCGGUAAUACGGAGGAUGCGAGCGUUAUCCGGAUUUAUUGGGUUUAAAGGGUGCGUAGGCGGUUUUUUAAGUUAGUGGUUAAACGUCGGGGCUUCACCUUGAUUUGCCAUUAAUACUGUAAGACUCGAGUUCAGACGAGGUAGGCGGAAUAAGUUAAGUAGCGGUGAAAUGCUUAGAUAUAACUUAGAACUCCGAUAGCGAAGGCAGCUUACCAGACUGCGACUGACGCUGAAGCACGAGAGCGUGGGUAGCGAACAGGAUUAGAUACCCCAGUAGUC